GACGAACGCUGGCGGCGUGCUUAACACAUGCAAGUCGAACGCUGAAGCUCAGCUUUUGUUGGGUGGAUGAGUGGCGAACGGGUGAGUAACACGUGAGUAACCUGCCCCCUUCUUUGGGAUAACGCCCGGAAACGGGUGCUAAUACUGGAUAUUCACUGGUCUUCGCAUGGGGGUUGGUGGAAAGGGUUUUUCUGGUGGGGGAUGGGCUCGCGGCCUAUCAGCUUGUUGGUGGGGUGAUGGCCUACCAAGGCUUUGACGGGUAGCCGGCCUGAGAGGGUGACCGGUCACAUUGGGACUGAGAUACGGCCCAGACUCCUACGGGAGGCAGCAGUGGGGAAUAUUGCACAAUGGGCGCAAGCCUGAUGCGGCGACGCCGCGUGAGGGAUGGAGGCCUUCGGGUUGUGAACCUCUUUCGCUCAUGGUCAAGCCGCAACAAUGGUUGUGGUGAGGGUAGUGGGUAAAGAAGCGCCGGCUAACUACGUG
Molecule: ribosomal RNA, 483 nt
Filed under: uncultured bacterium
Lineage: Bacteria
Description: partial 16S ribosomal RNA
Rfam family: Bacterial small subunit ribosomal RNA
Source: RNAcentral